Molecule: ribosomal RNA, 506 nt
Filed under: uncultured bacterium
Lineage: Bacteria
Description: partial 16S ribosomal RNA
Rfam family: Bacterial small subunit ribosomal RNA
Source: RNAcentral
GAUGAACGCUAGCUACAGGCUUAACACAUGCAAGUCGAGGGGUAACGAGAGGAAAGCUUGCUUUCCUUGUCGACGACCGGCGCACGGGUGAGUAACGCGUAUCCAACCUGCCCCCAACUAGGGAAUAACCUUGCGAAAGUAAGACUAAUACCCUAUAAUUUCCUCAGAUGUCAUCUGACGAGGAAUAAAGAUUUAUCGGUUGUGGAUGGGGAUGCGUCUGAUUAGCUUGUUGGCGGGGUAACGGCCCACCAAGGCAUCGAUCAGUAGGGGUUCUGAGAGGAAGGUCCCCCACAUUGGAACUGAGACACGGUCCAAACUCCUACGGGAGGCAGCAGUGAGGAAUAUUGGUCAAUGGGCGGAAGCCUGAACCAGCCAAGUAGCGGGCAGGAUGACGGCCAUAUGGGUUGUAAACUGCUUUUAUACAGGAAUAAAGUUAGCCACGUGUGGUUAUUUGUAGGUACUGUAUGAAUAAGGACCGGCUAAUCCCGUGCCAGCCGCCGCGGUAA